Molecule: long non-coding RNA, 864 nt
Filed under: Homo sapiens (human)
Lineage: Eukaryota; Metazoa; Chordata; Mammalia; Primates; Hominidae
Description: non-protein coding lnc-SYT16-67:5
Source: RNAcentral
GAACAGCUGCGCGCCCGCCUAGCGCUGCGAACCCGGAGUGAGAGGCGCUUCAGAGACUGGAGGGACGGACCUGCAGGAGCCAGGGCUGCCCGCCGAGCUGCAGUUGCCGCUACUGCCGCUGUCAGCGCCCGACUGAAGAGUGACAGCCGCAAAAGCAGGAGUGAGCACCGAACCCCGCGCUUCUACCUAACAGGUGCAUGCGCCGAUCUGGUGAGUGGACCCAGCUCACAAGAUCUCAGGUAACCAUUCAUGAGCCUGAGGCUGUGAGAAAUGCUCGCUGUGCAAAGGGGAACUCUCACCAGAUUUUCUGAAACUGUUCUAGAAAUACACUUUUCGGAUUGAUUCAGCAUUACCAGCUUAUCCAACAAAAGUAUUAACAUAUACAUUAACAACGUCGAAAGUAGCCUACUUUAAGAGAAAAUAUGCAGAAGAAGAAGAUUUACAUCAAGAUUACCAUGGGUAUUUUCCAAAACACCUGAUAUUACCUGAGGACAGAACUUGCAUUCUCAAACUUUCUCUGGAGAAGCUCAGGUUUCUUGAAGACCCAGAAACCUACUUAAGAAGGUCUGUGUUAAUUAACAAUUUGCUGAGGAAGAUACAUCUAGAGACGGAGAAAGAGAGCUAUGAAUACUUUAAAGAAGCUCCCUGUUAUAAGACUGCAUAUUCUGAUACAAGAAAACGGCUGAAGUUUAUGGUACAGGAAUGCUGUUCUCAGUCUCUCUAUUAUGAAGAGCUGCAUUCGUAUCAUAUUGUGCCUUAUGCUUCGGAGAAUGCCAUUUAUGAAAUGGGCUACACUAGCAGCCACUUGGAGCAAAAUUCUCAGUUGCUUAUUUAUAAAAUGAAUUAAAGUAACUGUUAAGUCCA